RNAcentral lists this ribosomal RNA (358 nucleotides) under uncultured Archaeospora. RNAcentral's name for it is "partial 28S ribosomal RNA". The record is from RNAcentral. Lineage: Eukaryota; Fungi; Glomeromycota; Glomeromycetes; Archaeosporales; Archaeosporaceae.
GAGAGUAAAACAGUACGUGAAAUUGUUGAAAGGGAAACGCUUGAAGUCAGUCGUGCCGGCGUUGGAUUCAGCUUGCUUCGCGGAGCAGGCGUAUUUCCGCGCAUGGCAGGUCAGCGUCAGUUUUGCGCGGCGUGAAAAGGCUCGGGUAAGGUAGCUCUCUUCGGGGAGUGUUAUAGACCUGGGCAGAUGCGCUGCGCGGGACUGAGGAUUGCAGCGGACACCCCCUCGGGGGCGCGGCGACCGAACCCUGCUCGGCCACCCUCGUUCGAUAGCGUGCUAGCGGACGCGGGAGCGGCGGUGCACCGGAACAGGCAAGCCAGCGGUUCGCUAAGGAUGCUGACGUAAUGGCUUUAAACGA